GAUGAAGAACGUAGCGAAAUGCGAUAAGUAAUGCGAAUUGCAGAAUUCAGUGAGUCAUCGAAUCUUUGAACGCACAUUGCGCCCUGUGGUAUUCCGCAGGGCAUGCCUGUUCGAGCGUCAUUUCAACCCUCAAGCUCUGCUUGGUGUUGGGCCCUGCCCGCUGCGGCCGGCCCUAAAGACAGUGGCGGUGCCGCCUGGCCCUGAGCGUAGUACACCUCUCGCUCCAGUGCCCGGUGGUAGCCUGCCAGAACCCCAACUCUCGUGGUUGACCUCGGAUCAGGUAGGGAUACCCGCUGAACUUAAGCAUAUCAAUAAGCGGAGGA
This 323-nucleotide unclassified non-coding RNA is filed under the name soil metagenome. RNAcentral describes it as "partial contains 5.8S ribosomal RNA, internal transcribed spacer 2, and large subunit ribosomal RNA". The stretch from base 1 to 120 matches the Rfam family "5.8S ribosomal RNA", at positions 35 to 154 of the family's 154-position model. The record is from RNAcentral.